Molecule: ribosomal RNA, 253 nt
Filed under: uncultured bacterium
Lineage: Bacteria
Description: partial 16S ribosomal RNA
Rfam family: Bacterial small subunit ribosomal RNA
Source: RNAcentral
UACGGAGGGGGCUAGCGUUGUUCGGAAUUACUGGGCGUAAAGCGCGCGUAGGCGGACCUGCAAGUCGGGGGUGAAAGCCCGAGGCUCAACCUCGGAACUGCCUUCGAUACUGCGGGUCUCGAGUCCGGGAGAGGUGAGUGGAAUUCCUAGUGUAGAGGUGAAAUUCGUAGAUAUUAGGAAGAACACCAGUGGCGAAGGCGGCUCACUGGCCCGGUACUGACGCUGAGGCGCGAAAGCGUGGGGAGCAAACAAG